Micropterus dolomieu (smallmouth bass) is the source of this 646-nucleotide long non-coding RNA. RefSeq lists it as uncharacterized. The transcript is spliced from 3 exons. Lineage: Eukaryota; Metazoa; Chordata; Actinopteri; Centrarchiformes; Centrarchidae. The record is from RefSeq and is a predicted model, not a curated record.
CACGCAUUCACAUUCCUUAAGAUACAGAUAAGCUGGGAAUUCUCUCAGGCAAUGGAUAUGUAUCAGGCCAUGCUCACCUGCUCCAGGGAAAGCUCUCCCAGGCAGGACAUUGGCAUGCGGAGGUAGAGGUGGACCCAGAGUGAAUUCAGGUACAGACCUCUCCAUGAAGCGAGGUUCGAACUGUGCUGGGACCCCCUGUAACCUCUGCUGCCCCUGGGCGAGGAUCUGUGGAGCCAUAGCCAUCUGGUUCCUCAUCAUCAAUUCUUGCCUCUGCCUCAGCUCUGCAAGAGAAGAAAAGGCACUAUAGCUGACAUGCCGUUGACCAGACGGUACCAGUGCUUCUCAUCAAAAGCCCCCUGUUCUCCCAUCGCUGUCAUCUUCCUCAGCUGCUCCCGUGGGGUCAUGAUACACACACGACCUUUGAACUCCACCUGAAUGCUGUAAAAGUUCAAGAUGAAAAAAAGAGGUAAAUUUCUACAAACAGGACAAUGUGACAAUGUGCUUUAACAAACUGGUUACUACAGUAGUGGGCUUUAAAGUUUAAAUUCAUUUAAAACUGUGCUUGUAUGGACGUAUAAAUUUUGUAAUGUCUUAUUAUUGCCACUAGGGGACAGUAAAUGCCUGAACAUUAAAGAGCUGUUGAUGG